AACUUGACGCUACCGGCAGGCUUAACACGUGCAAGUAGAGGGGCAGCACUUCUUCGGAUGGUGGCGACCGGCGCACGGGUGCGUAACGCGUAUAGAACUUACCUUUUACAGAGGGAUAGCCUUUAGAAAUGAAGAUUAAUACCUCAUAGCAUUGAGAUUUGGCAUCAAAUUUUAAUUAAAGAUUUAUCGGUAAAAGAUGGCUAUGCGUCCUAUUAGCUAGAUGGUGAGGUAACGGCUCACCAUGGCAACGAUAGGUAGGGGUCCUGAGAGGGAGAUCCCCCACACUGGUACUGAGACACGGACCAGACUCCUACGGGAGGCAGCAGUGAGGAAUAUUGGGCAAUGGAGGCAACUCUGACCCAGCCAUGCCGCGUGCAGGAAUAAGGUCCUAUGGAUUGUAAACUGCUUUUAUA
This 413-nucleotide ribosomal RNA is filed under the name uncultured Bacteroidota bacterium. RNAcentral's name for it is "bacterial SSU rRNA". It matches the Rfam family "Bacterial small subunit ribosomal RNA", at positions 32 to 440 of the family's 1533-position model. The record is from RNAcentral. Lineage: Bacteria; Pseudomonadati; Bacteroidota.